Molecule: ribosomal RNA, 254 nt
Filed under: uncultured bacterium
Lineage: Bacteria
Description: partial 16S ribosomal RNA
Rfam family: Bacterial small subunit ribosomal RNA
Source: RNAcentral
UACGAAGGGGGCUAGCGUUGCUCGGAAUCACUGGGCGUAAAGCGCACGUAGGCGGACUCUUAAGUCGGUGGUGAAAUCCUGGAGCUCAACUCCAGAACUGCCUUCGAUACUGUUUGGCUUGAGUAUGGCAGAGGUUGGUGGAACUGCGAGUGUAGAGGUGAAAUUCGUAGAUAUUCGGAAGAACACCAGUGGCGAAGGCGACUCGCUGGACAGACAUUGAACGCUGAGGUGCGAAAGCGUGGGGAGCAAACAGG